AGUGAACGCUGGCGGCGUGCCUAAUACAUGCAAGUCGAACGGAGAUUAAGUAGCUUGCUAUUUAAUCUUAGUGGCGCACGGGUGAGUAAUAUAUAGCUAACUUGCCCAUUACUAAGGGACAACAGUUGGAAACGACUGCUAAUACCUUAUACUCCGUAUCUAUAUAAGUAGAUACGGGAAAGUUUUUCGGUAAUGGAUAGGGCUAUAUCGUAUCAGCUAGUUGGUAAGGUAAUGGCUUACCAAGGCUAUGACGCGUAACUGGUCUGAGAGGAUGACCAGUCACACUGGAACUGAGACACGGUCCAGACUCCUACGGGAGGCAGCAGUAGGGAAUAUUGCUCAAUGGGGGAAACCCUGAAGCAGCAACGCCGCGUGGAGGAUGACACUUUUCGGAGCGUAAACUCCUUUUCUUGGGAAAGAAUUAUGACGGUACCCAAGGAAUAAGCACCGGCUAACUCCGUG
This 462-nucleotide ribosomal RNA is filed under the name uncultured bacterium. RNAcentral describes it as "partial 16S ribosomal RNA". It matches the Rfam family "Bacterial small subunit ribosomal RNA", at positions 29 to 507 of the family's 1533-position model. The record is from RNAcentral.